This 483-nucleotide ribosomal RNA is filed under the name uncultured bacterium. RNAcentral describes it as "partial 16S ribosomal RNA". It matches the Rfam family "Bacterial small subunit ribosomal RNA", at positions 28 to 523 of the family's 1533-position model. The record is from RNAcentral.
GACGAACGCUGGCGGCGUGCUUAACACAUGCAAGUCGAACGGAAAGGCUCCAGCUUGCUGGAGUACUCGAGUGGCGAACGGGUGAGUAACACGUGGGUAAUCUGCCCUGCACUCUGGGAUAAGCCUGGGAAACUGGGUCUAAUACUGGAUAUGACCUUUCUCCUUAUGGGGUUUGGUGGAAAGUUUUUCGGUGUAGGAUGAGCCCGCGGCCUAUCAGCUUGUUGGUGGGGUGAUGGCCUACCAAGGCGACGACGGGUAGCCGGCCUGAGAGGGUGAUCGGCCACAUUGGGACUGAGAUACGGCCCAGACUCCUACGGGAGGCAGCAGUGGGGAAUAUUGCACAAUGGGCGGAAGCCUGAUGCAGCGACGCCGCGUGAGGGAUGACGGCCUUCGGGUUGUAAACCUCUUUCAGCAGGGACGAAGCGUAAGUGACGGUACCUGCAGAAGAAGCACCGGCUAACUAUGUGCCAGCCGCCGCCGUAA